Molecule: non-coding RNA, 985 nt
Organism: Anas platyrhynchos (mallard)
Lineage: Eukaryota; Metazoa; Chordata; Aves; Anseriformes; Anatidae
Source: RefSeq, a predicted model, not a curated record
GCUUUGUUUUUCCUUCAGUCGGUUGCAGGGUUCUUUAGGUGGGUCAGAGUCUAUGGACUGAUGCGUUUUCCAGUAGAAACCGGUACGCAUAUCUUUUUGAGUUGGUAACUGGUAGGAUCUGUCAGUGUAAAGCAAUCUAGUAGUAGGUGCCUGUAUUGCACGCAGCUCUUCCUCAGUUCCAGUUACUGUCGGCUGUGGUUAUGAGGUGCCUCAGGAUGUGCUUAUUUUCUUGUUUCCGCCCUUCCCUCGUGCAGCCUUGGAGAGAUGAAGUCCCCAUGGUGUGGAGUGGUGCAAAAAGAGGAAUGGUCCAACAAUUCGGGUUAAUAGGGGACAAGAGAACAAAGGGGUUUCAGAAUAACUGCUAACUGUUAUGACUAUUGCAUGGGGCACUAUGCAAGUCUCUGACAUCCAGCCAAGAUGGACAAAGGAGAAGGACAAGGGAAAAGCCUGGGAGGAAGACUAUGAGCCUUCAGUACGAGAGACCCGCAGAGGGACCACCAGAGACUGGUAACACAUGCGCCAGUGGGCGGGUUCGGAUUCCAGGAACUAGUUAUAAUAACCCUGCCUUUUCUAGAAGUAGUAAUGAAUAUGUAUUAGCCUAGGAGCAUAAAAACCAGCCGCCUGCUGUGACUUGUGUGCGUCUCGGUGGAGCAGAGACUCCCGGCGCACCCAGUGCUGUUUGCUUACCUCUAUUCAUUUAAUAAAUUGUAAACUUUGAUUGUAAUCCUAUUUGGGACUUAGUCAUUUAUUACAACAGACAACCUUGUAAAAUGCAGACAACCAGAAUCCUUACAACAAUUAAGUGGAAAUCACGGUGUAAGAAACGUUACCACCUCAAAGAGUAAAAGCCUCAAAAGAAAUGUGACUUGUAACAGGCCAGCAGCUGUGUGUUUUCGGUGAAGCACCAGGUAGAGUAUGAACCUGGAUUGCACAGUUAAUGGGGAAACGGGAGGGUCCUGGUCCUUGGGAGGGGAAAAAAAAAAAA